This 1343-nucleotide ribosomal RNA is filed under the name uncultured bacterium. Its description in RNAcentral is "16S ribosomal RNA". It matches the Rfam family "Bacterial small subunit ribosomal RNA", at positions 28 to 1378 of the family's 1533-position model. The record is from RNAcentral.
GACGAACGCUGGCGGCGUGCUUAACACAUGCAAGUCGAACGGAAAGGCCCUGCUUUUGUGGGGUGCUCGAGUGGCGAACGGGUGAGUAACACGUGAGUAACCUGCCCUUGACUUUGGGAUAACUUCAGGAAACUGGGGCUAAUACCGGAUAGGAGCUCCUGCUGCAUGGUGGGGGUUGGAAAGUUUCGGCGGUUGGGGAUGGACUCGCGGCUUAUCAGCUUGUUGGUGGGGUAGUGGCUUACCAAGGCUUUGACGGGUAGCCGGCCUGAGAGGGUGACCGGCCACAUUGGGACUGAGAUACGGCCCAGACUCCUACGGGAGGCAGCAGCGGGGAAUAUUGCACAAUGGGCGGAAGCCUGAUGCAGCAACGCCGCGUGCGGGAUGACGGCCUUCGGGUUGUAAACCGCUUUCGCCUGUGACGAAGCGUGAGUGACGGUAAUGGGUAAAGAAGCACCGGCUAACUACGUGCCAGCAGCCGCGGUGAUACGUAGGGUGCGAGCGUUGUCCGGAUUUAUUGGGCGUAAAGGGCUCGUAGGUGGUUGAUCGCGUCGGAAGUGUAAUCUUGGGGCUUAACCCUGAGCGUGCUUUCGAUACGGGUUGACUUGAGGAAGGUAGGGGAGAAUGGAAUUCCUGGUGGAGCGGUGGAAUGCGCAGAUAUCAGGAGGAACACCAGUGGCGAAGGCGGUUCUCUGGGCCUUUCCUGACGCUGAGGAGCGAAAGCGUGGGGAGCGAACAGGCUUAGAUACCCUGGUAGUCCACGCUGUAAACGGUGGGUACUAGGUGUGGGGUCCAUUCCACGGGUUCCGUGCCGUAGCUAACGCUUUAAGUACCCCGCCUGGGGAGUACGGCCGCAAGGCUAAAACUCAAAGGAAUUGACGGGGCCCCGCACAAGCGGCGGAGCAUGCGGAUUAAUUCGAUGCAACGCGUAGAACCUUACCUGGGUUUGACAUGGAUCGGGAGUGCUCAGAGAUGGGUGUGCCUCUUUUGGGGUCGGUUCACAGGUGGUGCAUGGCUGUCGUCAGCUCGUGUCGUGAGAUGUUGGGUUAAGUCCCGCAACGAGCGCAACCCUUGUUCACUGUUGCCAGCACGUUAUGGUGGGGACUCAGUGGAGACCGCCGGGGUCAACUCGGAGGAAGGUGGGGAUGACGUCAAGUCAUCAUGCCCCUUAUGUCCAGGGCUUCACGCAUGCUACAAUGGCUGGUACAGAGAGUGGCGAGCCUGUGAGGGUGAGCGAAUCUCGGAAAGCCGGUCUCAGUUCGGAUUGGGGUCAGCAACUCGACCUCAUGAAGUCGGAGUCGCUAGUAAUCGCAGAUCAGCAACGCUGCGGUGAAUACGUUCCCGGG